UCUUGUCGAUUUGUUAAUUAUUCCAGUUGCUUUUUGCAGAUAUUUUACAGACCAUUUAAUCGGGUAAUUGCAUCCAAAGAGAAUGAGAAAUGACAUGAGUGUAUGGAGAAUUUUUGUUACUUUAAUUGUGCCACCAACACACCACAAACAUUAUUUACACUGCAUGCUAUUCUAUAGGAUUUUAUGUACAAAUUCUGAUACAGGAAACACGUCAAGUCAGUUGGCAUGCGGCAACUUUCGGCCUUAGUUUCGAUUGUCAUGUCAGCAUUUGCUGCUCAUACAAAUAUUCGUCAGUCGAAAGCAGAACUGCGAAGCGACAACAGCUCCACAUACAACAAAACAAAUAAAAUAAGAAGUAAAUAUUAACUGAUACAACCAACAAAAUGGAGGGUGAAGAGAACAAGGAGAACAUUGAGCCACAAGUGCCCAACCGUUCAUCGCCCGCUAAUGCUGCCCGCCCGAUGAUGAACAACGCCACGGUGCGCGUCUACAAUGUAGCACCAUCGCGGGCUCGCAUGCGUAAUGCCACCGCGAAUGCUGGGCCAACUGGCAGCCAUCCCAACAACCCCAUUAACUUGCGUGAAUAUGACUUAAUGGCGCCAUACAGCAGGAGGCCGCGCGGAUCAUACCGCGGAGUAUAAUAGUUAAUUAUUUACACGCAAAUGAGCACAAACUGAUACAAUGCUGCCAAGCAGCACAACAACAAAAACUCGUGACGAUAUUUGGCAAUAUACACAGGUUCCAUAAAUAUCGAGGAGCAGUACGGCUAUCGGCGCUGUCCGUCCGUUGGUCAGACCCCCGAAUCAUUGCGUACUCCAACUUAUCAAGUUAAUAAUCACUGAUAUAUCGUUUGCAAU
Molecule: long non-coding RNA, 857 nt
Organism: Drosophila subobscura
Lineage: Eukaryota; Metazoa; Arthropoda; Insecta; Diptera; Drosophilidae
Exons: 3
Source: RefSeq, a predicted model, not a curated record